This is a non-coding RNA of Ktedonobacter racemifer DSM 44963, 77 nucleotides long. NCBI's taxonomy places the organism in Bacteria, Bacillati, Chloroflexota, Ktedonobacteria, Ktedonobacterales, Ktedonobacteraceae. The record is from Rfam.
UUGAGCGGCAUGCAGGGAAACUUGCACGUGUCGUUCUUAGAGGGCUUGGAGGCGGUAACGCCUCCCGGCUACUCGGC